Molecule: ribosomal RNA, 330 nt
Filed under: uncultured bacterium
Lineage: Bacteria
Description: bacterial SSU rRNA
Rfam family: Bacterial small subunit ribosomal RNA
Source: RNAcentral
UGUGUAGGCGGUUCUUUAAGUUUGGUGUGAAAUCUCCCGGCUCAACCGGGAGGGUGCGCCGAAUACUGAGGGACUAGAGUGUGGGAGAGGAAAGUGGAAUUCCUGGUGUAGCGGUGAAAUGCGUAGAUAUCAGGAGGAACACCGGUGGUGUAGACGGCUUUCUGGACCAUAACUGACGCUGAGACACGAAAGCGUGGGUAGCAAACAGGAUUAGAUACCCUGGUAGUCCACGCCCUAAACGAUGCAUAUUUGGUGUGGGUCAUUCAGUUGAUCCGUGCCGGAGCUAACGCGUUAAAUAUGCCGCCUGGGGAGUACAGUCGCAAGGCUGAA